This 433-nucleotide ribosomal RNA is filed under the name uncultured bacterium. RNAcentral's name for it is "partial 16S ribosomal RNA". It matches the Rfam family "Bacterial small subunit ribosomal RNA", at positions 29 to 507 of the family's 1533-position model. The record is from RNAcentral.
AACGAACGCUGGCGGCAUGCCUAACACAUGCAAGUCGAACGAGACCUUCGGGUCUUGUGGCGCACGGGUGCGUAACGCGUGGGAACCUGCCCUUAGGUUCGGAAUAACUCCCAGAAAGGGGUGCUAAUACCGGAUAAUGUCUUCGGACCAAAGAUUUAUCGCCUUUGGAUGGGCCAGCGUUGGAUUAGCUAGUUGGUAGGGUAAAAGCCUACCAAGGCGACGAUCCAUAGCUGGUCUGAGAGAAUGAUCAGCCACACUGGGACUGAGACACGGCCCAGACUCCUACGGAAUGCAGCAGUGGGGAAUAGUGGACAAUGGGCGAAAGCGUGAUCCAGCAAUGCCGCGUAAGUUAUGAAGGCCGUAGGGUUGUAAAGCUCUUUUACCCGGGAUGGUAAUGACGGUACCGGGUCAAUAAGCUCCGGCUAACUCCGUG